RNAcentral lists this ribosomal RNA (278 nucleotides) under uncultured bacterium. RNAcentral's name for it is "partial 16S ribosomal RNA". It matches the Rfam family "Bacterial small subunit ribosomal RNA", at positions 29 to 334 of the family's 1533-position model. The record is from RNAcentral.
AACGAACGCUGGCGGCAGGCCUAACACAUGCAAGUCGAACGCUUACUUAGGUAAGAGUGGCAGACGGGUGAGUAACACGUGGGAAUCUACCUAUCUCUACGGAACAACACAUAGAAAUGUGUGCUAAUACCGUAUACGCCCUUCGGGGGAAAGAUUUAUCGGAGAUAGAUGAGCCCGCGUUUGAUUAGCUAGUUGGUGAGGUAAUGGCUCACCAAGGCGACGAUCAAUAGCUGGUCUGAUAGGAUGAUCAGCCACACUGGGACUGAGACACGGCCCAG